RNAcentral lists this transfer RNA (65 nucleotides) under Otobius lagophilus. RNAcentral's name for it is "tRNA-Ile". The record is from RNAcentral. Lineage: Eukaryota; Metazoa; Arthropoda; Arachnida; Ixodida; Argasidae.
AAUAAAAUGCCUGAGAAAUAGGGGUAUCUUGAUAGGAUAUUACAUGUGAAUUUUCACUUUUAUUA